Molecule: long non-coding RNA, 1366 nt
Organism: Parasteatoda tepidariorum (common house spider)
Lineage: Eukaryota; Metazoa; Arthropoda; Arachnida; Araneae; Theridiidae
Source: RefSeq, a predicted model, not a curated record
ACUUCCCCCACUGCUUAGUUCUGUUCCAUUUUUUUGCAUUGUAAUAUAUUAGUAUUUUAUCUUUAUGUAAACGAAAGAGAAUUUGCAAUAAGGAAUUUGCCUGCAAAGAAUUACAAGCUUGUAGAGUUUAAUACUUAACAAUAAGAUCAAUUAGCUUUAAGUUUAAAAAAAGAAUAAUCAGCAUUUUCUCUCAAAAAUCGCCAAUUUGGCGAGAUUCUUGCAAAUCGAGGAAAAUUAUAAUUACAAAUGCUCAACUUAACUUUUCAUCACAUUGACAUAAUUAGCUGGCUAUCAACACGCCAAUUGAAAUAGCUGGUAACUGCUCCAGAUUGUACAUAAGGCUCCUAUACUAUGAGAGCUGAACUAUCCACCAUUAUGUAGUAAACAAGUUCGCAAGUUACGUUAUGCUAGUAUUAGCGUGAGACUCUAAAGGUUAUUUAGAUACCUAAAAUUAUUGAUAUGGGUGGUUGUGCACCGGUAAAUUGCACAAACAGUUCAAGAAAAGGUGAAAUGGAUAAUAAAUUGCAGAAGAUACGACAGGAGCCUGAAAGAGGUGCUUAUGUGAGACGAAUUUGUUUUUGUUACCUUCGAAAUUGGGUAAUCGAGAAAAUAUAGGAACCUAGGCGGAAGUUAUAUUUCAGUUCUUUGUAUUUCGCAUUUUUAUUUCUGAAGAACUGAUUCUUGUCAAGUCAUUCAAAAUUCUGAAGAAACGAAAGAAAAUGAAUGGGACUAAAUAGGGUAUAAACUUUCAACCGCUCUCCCCCCCCCCAUAUUUGAGGGUCAAUAAACCGAAUCCAUGAAAAAGAAAAAAAGAAUGUUGAUGAAGAUAGGAAAAGUAAGUUUUUCUCUCAGAUUUCUUCACUUAAAAUAUCGUUUGCACUUAUUGAUUAGCCUAUUAAAGGUUAGACUUAAAAUUUAGUCCUAGUACACGAUCAUUAGAUCAAAAGUUACUCAGAGUGUUCAUUACUUUUAUUUUGUGCACUGCUGAUGUCAAUACACAAAUCACACAGAAUUAAACUUUAAUUUUAUCAACUCAAGCUAAUGCCUAUUAAGUAUUAUCUUAGAUCAAUCUUAUCAUACAAAAAGGAAGUAAUAAUUCUUUAUCAGCGAAUGGUUAGGCGUGGGACCCUCUUCAUAAGUGAGUGUCCAGCUAUUUUAUAUCCCGCAGAACUAGUUCACUAUACAUGCAAUAUUUAAAAUGUUAAUUAAUACUUACAGGAUCUACUGUAAGUCUGCGUCCCGCAGAGAACUGAUUGUUAAGACAUGGUUCCCAGCAGAACACCGAAGUCAACCAUCACUGGCUGCGGUCAGUGUGAGGUGACCACUUGGAUCAGUCUACGAAAUGACUGAGGGUGUGUGGUAUUGA